This 400-nucleotide ribosomal RNA is filed under the name uncultured bacterium. RNAcentral describes it as "bacterial SSU rRNA". It matches the Rfam family "Bacterial small subunit ribosomal RNA", at positions 355 to 752 of the family's 1533-position model. The record is from RNAcentral.
UAAGGAAUAUUGGACAAUGGAGGCAACUCUGAUCCAGCCAUCCCGCGUGGAGGAAUAAGGCCCUAUGGGUUGUAAACUCCUUUAGCUAGGGAAUAAAUCAGUGGAUUCAUCCGCUGUUGAAGGUACCUAGAGAAUAAGCACCGGCUAACUCCGUGCCAGCAGCCGCGGUAAUACGGAGGGUGCAAGCGUUAUCCGGAUUUACUGGGUUUAAAGGGUGCGUAGGCGGGUCAUUAAGUCAGAUGUGAAAGCCUCAAGCUCAACUUGAGAACUGCGUUUGAUACUGGUGGCCUUGAAUGCGAUAGAAGUGGGCGGAACAAAUCGUGUAGCGGUGAAAUGCUUAGAUAUGAUUUGGAACACCAAUUGCGAAGGCAGCUCACUAUGCCGUUAUUGACGCUGAGGC